This 293-nucleotide ribosomal RNA is filed under the name uncultured bacterium. RNAcentral describes it as "partial 16S ribosomal RNA". It matches the Rfam family "Archaeal small subunit ribosomal RNA", at positions 455 to 747 of the family's 1478-position model. The record is from RNAcentral.
GUGCCAGCCGCCGCGGUAAUACCGGCAGCCCGCGUGAUGGCCGAUCUUAUUGGGCCUAAAGCGUUCGUAGCCUGCUGUUCAAGUCUAUCGGGAAAUCGACGUGCCUAACGCGUCGGCGUCCGGUGGAUACUGUUCAGCUUGGGACCGAGAGACUCAGCGGGUACGUCUAGGGUAGGAGUGAAAUCCUGUAAUCCUAGACGGACCACCGAUGGCGAAAGCACGCUGAGAGAUCGGAUCCGACGGUGAGGAACGAAAGCUGGGGUCUCGAACCGGAUUAGAAACCCCUGUAGUCC